Molecule: non-coding RNA, 221 nt
Organism: Schizosaccharomyces pombe (fission yeast)
Lineage: Eukaryota; Fungi; Ascomycota; Schizosaccharomycetes; Schizosaccharomycetales; Schizosaccharomycetaceae
Source: the annotation of a GenBank genome assembly
AAAAUCUGUUAAUUUUAAACUUGUUGCUACUAAAAACAACGUCUAUGUAGACUAAUGUUUGAAUUGUCAAAUGCGCGUACCUCUCGCCUCUUGAAUACCUGAACGAGACCUUUAAUUCGAAUUUUUACCUACAAAAUAGAAGCAACAUUGCAUAACGACUAGUUUAAUAUCAAGCAGUGAGCACUUUAACUUUUAAACAUUUGGUGAUGACCAAUCUAAUC